This 405-nucleotide ribosomal RNA is filed under the name uncultured bacterium. Its description in RNAcentral is "partial 16S ribosomal RNA". It matches the Rfam family "Bacterial small subunit ribosomal RNA", at positions 29 to 526 of the family's 1533-position model. The record is from RNAcentral.
AUUGAACGCUGGCGGCAGGCUUAACACAUGCAAGUCGAACGAGUGGCGGACGGGUGAGUAAUGCUUGGGAAUCUCGCUUAUGGAGGGGGAUAACUCCGGGAAACUGUAGCUAAUACCGCGUACCAUAGGAUGAGCCCAAGUGGGAUUAGGUAGGGGGUGAGGUAAAGGCUCACCACGCCGACGAUCGCUAGCUGGUCUGAGAGGAUGACCAGCCGCACUGGGACGGAGACACGGCGCAGCCUCCUACGGGAGGCAGGAGUGGGGAGUAUUGCGCAAGGGGGGCAAGCUGAAGCAGCCAUGCCGCGUGAAUGCAGAAGGCCUUCGGGUUGUAAAGUACUUUCGGUAGCGAGGCGUUAACUACAGAAGAAGCACCGGCUAACUCCGUGCCAGCAGCCGCGGUAAUUC